Molecule: long non-coding RNA, 348 nt
Filed under: Homo sapiens (human)
Lineage: Eukaryota; Metazoa; Chordata; Mammalia; Primates; Hominidae
Description: HSALNT0065511
Source: RNAcentral
CGGCGCCCUGGCCCCGCGGCCCGACCCAGGGCCCCGGCCCGCCAGGGUCCCGAUCCCCGGCCCACGUGUGCCUGGCCCGGCCGGGCCUGGCUGCUGGGUGGGGGUGGGGAGCGCAGGGCCGGACUAUGCGGGCCCCGCGGGCUGGUAGGGCGCCGGGUUCGUCGCCGCGAAAUGCCACCUCGGCCUGACCCGAGGAGGCCCGGCAGCCCACGGGCGCAGGCACCACGGCUCCCGGCCCGCCGCCCCCUCCCCCCUUCGCGGCCAGGCCGCCGGGAAGUGACACGUUGUUCUUUGGCACUGGCCCGCGCUGCGCAGGGAGGGCGCAGGGGAGGGAGGCGGUGGCGGCGG